UAGGGAAUCUUCGGCAAUGGACGGAAGUCUGACCGAGCAACGCCGCGUGAGUGAAGAAGGUUUUCGGAUCGUAAAGCUCUGUUGUAAGAGAAGAACGAGUGUGAGAGUGGAAAGUUCACACUGUGACGGUAUCUUACCAGAAAGGGACGGCUAACUACGUGCCAGCAGCCGCGGUAAUACGUAGGUCCCGAGCGUUGUCCGGAUUUAUUGGGCGUAAAGCGAGCGCAGGCGGUUAGAUAAGUCUGAAGUUAAAGGCUGUGGCUUAACCAUAGUACGCUUUGGAAACUGUUUAACUUGAAUGCAAGAGGGGAGAGUGGAAUUCCAUGUGUAGCGGUGAAAUGCGUAGAUAUAUGGAGGAACACCGGUGGCGAAAGCGGCUCUCUGGCUUGUAACUGACGCUGAGGCUCGAAAGCGUGGGGAGCAAACAGGAUUAGAUACCCUGGUAGUCCACGCCGUAAACGAUGAGUGCUAGGUGUUAGACCCUUUCCGGGGUUUAGUGCCGUAGCUAACGCAUUAAGCACUCCGCCUGGGGAGUACGACCGCAAGGUUG
This 550-nucleotide ribosomal RNA is filed under the name uncultured bacterium. RNAcentral describes it as "bacterial SSU rRNA". It matches the Rfam family "Bacterial small subunit ribosomal RNA", at positions 355 to 896 of the family's 1533-position model. The record is from RNAcentral.